RNAcentral lists this transfer-messenger RNA (348 nucleotides) under Armatimonadota. RNAcentral describes it as "UBA5352 sp012522765 Standard tmRNA". It matches the Rfam family "transfer-messenger RNA". From Rfam's summary of the family: Bacterial tmRNA, also known as 10Sa RNA or SsrA, is named for its dual tRNA and mRNA-like properties. The record is from RNAcentral. Lineage: Bacteria; Bacillati. RNAcentral also lists the same sequence under 1 other name.
GGGGGCGAUCGGCAUCGACGGAUAGGCUGUGAGUCGGGGCUGCGAGCCGAGAUCUCCGGUAUCUCGUUAAUCCCGGAACCCUAAUAACUGCCAACAACGAACUGGCACUCGCGGCUUAAUUGCCGUGACGUCCGCCUGACUUCCCGCCGAUCGGGUCAGGGCCGGGCGUAAUUGGAUCGGCCGAAGCGUGCGCCUUUGCUCGAUUAGCGCACGGGGGUAGCAGAAUCGAGCUCUCCGUAGUGGACCCCGCGCCCGGGGGCCGCCUCGGAUAAGAAAGCGGGCGCUACGCUCGUAGAUGCUUCGGACACCCCUGUUCGGACGCGGGUUCAAUUCCCGCCGCCUCCACCA